GAGGGGGGAGUUUGGGAGUAAGAAGGAUGCUUGAAUGAAUCAAAUAUUAUUAUGCUAUGUGCGUAUAUGAUUACACAAAAGUUUAACUCUACAUCAUGUACAACCAGAAGCAUGAGAAGUUAGUUAUACCCCAUUUAUGUCUGAUGUGUCAAAAUGCAUUCUACUAUCAUGUAUAAGUAAUAAAAAAAUUAUAUAAAAGAAAAUGUGGUAUAUAUAUACACACACAAUGAAGUUUUACUGGGUCAUAAAAAAGAAUGACAUUAUGGCAUUUGCUGGAAAACAAUGGAAAUGGCAAACACCAUGCUAAAUUAAAUAAGCUGGUCUCAGAAAAUUAAGGGUCAAAUGUUUUCUGUCUUAUGUGGAAGCUAGACCAAAUAAGGGAAAAAGAAGAGAUGGUUGAAUAUCAUAAAGAUACAGGGAAAAUCAGUGGAGUAGAAGAAGGAAAUCAAAAAGGAGGAGUAGCUGGAGUGGUGGCUCAGUAGUAGAGCACUUGCCUAGCAUGUGUGAGGCACUGGGUUUGAUUCUCAGCACCACAUAUAAAUAAAUGAACAAAAUAAAGGUCCAUGAGUGUCUAAAAAAGGAG
RNAcentral lists this long non-coding RNA (583 nucleotides) under Marmota monax (woodchuck). The stretch from base 468 to 535 matches the Rfam family "tRNA". The record is from RNAcentral. Lineage: Eukaryota; Metazoa; Chordata; Mammalia; Rodentia; Sciuridae.